Orussus abietinus is the source of this 1044-nucleotide long non-coding RNA. RefSeq lists it as uncharacterized. The transcript has 2 exons. Lineage: Eukaryota; Metazoa; Arthropoda; Insecta; Hymenoptera; Orussidae. The record is from RefSeq and is a predicted model, not a curated record.
AAACGACACAUACAUGUACUCCCCUUCGUUUAAAUAUUUACCUAUGCAAAACGAAGAAAAACAAAAAGAAGAAGAAAAUUAAAGACGAGAUUCUCCUCGACCGUUAAGGCGUCAUUGUAUUUAUUGGGUUAUUCUAUUGUACCAUGUAAUUUAUUUAUUAUCAGUCCUUAGGACGUGAAUUAUUUUUCCACAACUGUCAAGAGCCAUUCUUUUCCAGGAUUCUUCCUCGCUCGGAACUUUCCGAUCUUCAGGGCCGCCGAAGAUCAUGGGGCGAUCGAUCAGGGUCGAAUGGGAUUUGCGUCAUCGGCUUGAGACUAAUUUCUGAAUAUUUCAUAAGCGGAGAUCAAUAUCCGCCAGCCUCCAUGAGCACACGAGCAUGAAAUGCUGAUGGAAGAACGAAGAGGUCUCCGGUAUCAAUCUUCAUGGAUUCGAGCUCGAGUCUUUUUCAUCCGGAGACUGAGAUUAACGCCGAAGAAGUAUUUCGAUGUCACAGGGUGAUUGAUCCUCUGCAUAAUUUCAAGAUCAUAGAUCCUCGGAUCAAGGUGCGUCAUUUGCGUUACCUCAUCCGAGUGGGUAAUGAGAAAAUGAAAUACAAAUUUUCCGUCAGUCCCGUUCCGCAGGAAAUCCGUGGGAUUUGUUCAGGAAUUCUCCCCGAUGUUUUCGCAAAGUCUCGCGUGUCAAUUGACAUUUCGUAAUCCGCCGAAUGUGGCUCUGCAGUGUCGACACCUCCGGCUAUGUCUGCAGUUGUGGCGAUUUAACGAGGUCGUUGUUGGCCCAAGUUAUGUUAGCCGAUCACGUAAUAGUCGUCGAAGGUAUACCUUGGACCUUGCCGGUCCUACAAAUGAAGGAAAUCGUCGCCUGACGUACCUUCGAAUCUGUCGAAAGUUGAGUCCUCUCUUCACACCUCGAAGAGUUCACAAGCAAAGGUACCCAAGAAAUAAUUUCCUUCGACCUUUUGCAACUUACGAAAAUUUUGAAAAAAUUCUUACCGAUAAAGAAAGCUCACCUAGAUCAAGAAAAAAAAAUAUACGAUACAAAAAGAAA